Molecule: RNA transcript, 932 nt
Organism: Perognathus longimembris pacificus (Pacific pocket mouse)
Lineage: Eukaryota; Metazoa; Chordata; Mammalia; Rodentia; Heteromyidae
Gene name: ankyrin repeat and SOCS box protein 8-like
Exons: 1
Source: RefSeq, a predicted model, not a curated record
UCAGCUUAACCCUGCCGUUCGUUUGGAGCAUGUGAACACACUCUGAGCCUUGAUGAGUUCCAGUAUGUGGUAUAUUAUGCAGAGCAUUCUGAGCAAAUACUCUCUCUCAGAGCACUUAAUCCGAACAAUCGCUGCCAUCCGUUCCUUCCCACAUGAUAACGGGGAGGACCUCAUUAGAGGGGGAGCAGAUGUGAACUGCACCCAUGGCACCCUGAAGCCCCUUUACUGUGCCUGUAUGAUGUCAGAUGCUGACUGUGUGGAGUUACUCCUGGAAAAAGGAGCAGAGGUGAAUGCCCUGGAUGGUUACAACCAAACAGCACUGCACUAUGCAGCAGAGAAAGAUGAGGCAUGUGUGGAGGACCUGUUAGAGUAUGGUGCAAAUCCCAAUGCUCUGGAUGGCAACAGAGACACCCCACUUCACUGGGCAGCCUUUAAGAACAAUGCUGAGUGUGUGCGGGCUCUCCUGGAGAGUGGGCUUCUGUCAAUGCCCUAGAUUACAACAAUGAUACACCACUCAGCUGGGCUGCCAUGAUGGGGAAUCUUGAAUGUGUCAGCAUCCUUCUUGAUUACGGUGCAGAGGUCAAGGUUAUCAACCUAAAAGGCCAGACACCCAUCUCCCACCUGGUCGCUCUGCUAGUCAGGGGACUUGGAACAGAGAAAGAGGACUCCUGCUUUGAGCUCCUCCACAGAGCUGUUGGACACUUUGAAUUAAGGAAAAAUGGCACCAUGCCACAAGAGGUGGCCAAAGACCAACAGCUAUGUGAAAAACUGACUGUGCUCUGCUCCGCCCCAGGAACGCUGAAACACUCUCUCCCUAUGCUGUGCAACAGAGCCUGGGCCUCCAGUAUCUGCCCGAUGCAGUGAAAGGCCUUCCACUGCCAGCUUCUUUGAAACAAUACCUGCUACUUGUAGAAUGGCCUAGAGAUGCUUGA